CAUCAAGUUCCAAAAGGUCCACACCUCGGCGCUUGAGAUCGAAAACAAGUACUUCUUGCCAUCCUCCAAACAUUUCUAGCUAUAAGCCCGAAAGCUCGAGCGAGACAUCGAGGAUUUGGAAGCACAGGGAGCGGCCGAGGCUCCCAGAACCGGAGGCUCAUCGCGUCUACGAGCAAAGCUACAAGGAUUGAAAAUGCGGAUAAACGACUUGCAAUCAACCUGUGACAGGCAGCUGGAGGAGCUCGCGCUCCUUCGCAAGGACUUGCGUGUUUCUCAUACAAAGG
Selaginella moellendorffii is the source of this 284-nucleotide long non-coding RNA. RefSeq lists it as uncharacterized. The record is from RefSeq and is a predicted model, not a curated record. The transcript has 3 exons. Lineage: Eukaryota; Viridiplantae; Streptophyta; Lycopodiopsida; Selaginellales; Selaginellaceae.